This 735-nucleotide ribosomal RNA is filed under the name uncultured Fusobacterium sp. Its description in RNAcentral is "bacterial SSU rRNA". It matches the Rfam family "Bacterial small subunit ribosomal RNA", at positions 28 to 776 of the family's 1533-position model. The record is from RNAcentral. Lineage: Bacteria; Fusobacteriati; Fusobacteriota; Fusobacteriia; Fusobacteriales; Fusobacteriaceae.
GAUGAACGCUGACAGAAUGCUUAACACAUGCAAGUCAACUUGAAUUUGGGUUUUUAACUUAGGUUUGGGUGGCGGACGGGUGAGUAACGCGUAAAGAACUUGCCUCACAGCUAGGGACAACAUUUGGAAACGAAUGCUAAUACCUAAUAUUAUGAUAAUAGGGCAUCCUAUAAUUAUGAAAGCUAUAAGCGCUGUGAGAGAGCUUUGCGUCCCAUUAGCUAGUUGGAGAGGUAACGGCUCACCAAGGCGAUGAUGGGUAGCCGGCCUGAGAGGGUGAUCGGCCACAAGGGGACUGAGACACGGCCCUUACUCCUACGGGAGGCAGCAGUGGGGAAUAUUGGACAAUGGACCAAGAGUCUGAUCCAGCAAUUCUGUGUGCACGAUGAAGUUUUUCGGAAUGUAAAGUGCUUUCAGUUGGGAAGAAAGAAAUGACGGUACCAACAGAAGAAGUGACGGCUAAAUACGUGCCAGCAGCCGCGGUAAUACGUAUGUCACGAGCGUUAUCCGGAUUUAUUGGGCGUAAAGCGCGUCUAGGUGGUUAUGUAAGUCUGAUGUGAAAAUGCAGGGCUCAACUCUGUAUUGCGUUGGAAACUGUAUAACUAGAGUACUGGAGAGGUAAGCGGAACUACAAGUGUAGAGGUGAAAUUCGUAGAUAUUUGUAGGAAUGCCGAUGGUGAAGCCAGCUUACUGGACAGAUACUGACGCUGAAGCGCGAAAGCGUGGGUAGCAAACAGG